This is a long non-coding RNA of Ictalurus punctatus (channel catfish), 2347 nucleotides long. The record is from Ensembl. Lineage: Eukaryota; Metazoa; Chordata; Actinopteri; Siluriformes; Ictaluridae.
CUUUAUUGUUUAAUCUUUUGUUCAGAAAAUCAGAAAAAUGUUUUUGUUAAAUAUAGGUGUGCAACAAUUAUUGGCACCCCUAUGAAUUCAUAUGAGAAAAAUAUAUUUUAAGUAUAUUCCCAUUGAUAUUUUACAUUUUUUGUACACCUGGGUGACUAGGGGUAUAAACAUGAGGUAACAUAUAGGCCAAAUUCCCUUAGUCAUUCAUAACAAUGGGUAAGACCAAGGAAUAUAGCGGUGAUGUGUGGCAAGAGGUUGACAUCCUCUAUAAGAGUUUAGAAAAAGCAUUGAAAAUGCCCAUUUCCACCAUCGGGAAAAUAAUUAAGAAAUUCCAGUCAACUGGAAAUGUUGUUAUGAAUCAACCUGGAAGAGGACGUGUGUCUAUAUCGUCUCAGCGCACUGUGAGGGGGAUGGUUCAAGUGCCCAAAAAAAGUAUCACAGCUGGAGAAUUGCAGAAGUUAGUUGUAUCUUGGGGUCACCUGCAUCACCACAAGUUGUUUCAAAUGGUUUCAAGAAAAAAGCUAAAGAAAAAAAAAAAAAACUUUUUUCCAGAAAAAAAAUGGCCAUGGUCAGAUGAAACCAAAAUAGAGCUUUUUGGCAAUAAACACCAGAGGUGGUUUUGGCACACACAGAAGUCGCCAUAUGGAAACGUACCUCAUGCCCACAGUUAAAUAUGGUGGUGGCUCUUUAAUGUUUUGGGUCUGUUUUUCUGCCAGAGGGGUCCGUGUACUUUUGCGUCCAUUCAUUUUUCUUUUUGUAACCCAUUAAUGAAAAGCAAAAAAUGAAUGGUUGUUUUAUUUUUAAAAUGCAAUAUUGAAUACUAAAUUUUUAAUUCGAACUGUACACACCAAAUGCUGCACCAAAAAUAAAAUAUUGACGUAUUUUCAGAUUUUUGUUUAUGAUGUUUUGCACCUUUUAUUAAACAUUUAAAAGAUUCACAAAUUAAUAUGAAAAAAAAAUGUCGAUUUUACUGGUUUUCUAAGGCCAAAUUAGAACCCGGAAAUUAUGUUUCUGACACUCAGCUGGAGAUGGCUGUAUCAAAAGAAGUACAAGAAGCAGGACCAACCUACGGUCGUGAGUUGAUGACCACUUAUUUUGCAGCAAAGGGAAUUCGAGCCGCAGAAAGUCACGUUGGACGAGCCCUCCAGACAAUACAUCGACUAUACCAUGAAAUGAGAUGCAAUGUAGUAUCCCAGUCCCCUGACUUGAAACCCAUAGAAAACAAGUGGGGUGAACUGAAGAGGAGAGUCCACCAGCAUUGACCUCCAAAUUUGAAGGAUCUGGAGAAAUUCUGUAUGGAAUGGUCCUGCCGUGUAUUCUAGAACCUCAUCAGGCAUUAUAGGAGAAGACUCAGCUAUUAUCUUGGCAAAGGGAGGUAGCAUAAAGUAUUGACUAAAAGGGUGCCAAUAAUUGUUGCACACCUAUAUUUAACAAUUUUUUUUUGUAUAAACCUGUGUUUUGUUUGCAAUUGUUUGAUACCCAAAAGAGCAGAGUAUUUUUGCGAAUGUUUUUAACAAAAGAUCAAAAAGUUAAACAAUAAAGACAACUUUUAACAGUUUUCUUUGCUCAUAUUUACCAAGGGUGCCAAUAUUAGUGGAGAGCAUUGUGUGUAUAUAUAUACAGCAGGGGAAAUAAGUAUUGAACACAUCGAUAUUUUUUUUCAGUAAAUAUAUUUCCAAUGAGGCUAUUCACAUGAAAUUUUCACCAGACUUUAGUAUUAACUCCACCCAUAUCCACACACAGAAAUCCAUACAUUAAAGUCCAUAAAUAAAGUUAUGUGUAAUAAAGUGGAAUGACACGGGAAAAAAGUAUUGAACACGCUAACUGAAAUGUAUUUAAUACUUAGUGGAGAAGUCUUUGUUUGUAAUGACGCUUCAAGACACUUCUUGUAUGAAGAAAUUAAUGGUCGCAGUAUUCAGGUGUGAUUUUGGUCCGUUCUUCUAAACAUAUUGUCUUUAAAUCUUGUUCAGUUGGAUUCGAGUCAGGUGAUUGACAGGGCCAUUCUAACACCUUGAUUUUUUUCUCUGAAACCAAUUGAGAGUUUCCUUUGCUGUAUCCUUUGGACCAUUGUUCUGCUGGAAGCUCCACCCACGUCUCAUCUUCAUCAUCCUGGUGGAUGCAGCAGAUACUUCUAAAAAAUCUCCCGGUAAAGGACUCCAUUCAUCGUUCCUUCAGUUAUAUGAAGUCUGCCAGUACCAUGUGAUGAAAUACAGCCCACACCAUGAUGCUUCACCUCCACACUUCACUGUUGGUGUAGUGUUUUUAGGGAGAUGUGCAGUGCCAUUUCUUCUCCAAACAUGGUGUGUAGUAUCACAGCCAAAAAGUUCAAUUCUGCUCUCGUCUGACC